GACGAACGCUGGCGGCGUGCUUAACACAUGCAAGUCGAACGGAAAGGCCCUGCUUUUGUGGGGUGCUCGAGUGGCGAACGGGUGAGUAACACGUGAGUAACCUGCCCUUGACUUUGGGAUAACUUCAGGAAACUGGGGCUAAUACCGGAUAGGAGCUCCUGCUGCAUGGUGGGGGUUGGAAAGUUUCGGCGGUUGGGGAUGGACUCGCGGCUUAUCAGCUUGUUGGUGGGGUAGUGGCUUACCCAGGCUUUGACGGGUAGCCGGCCUGAGAGGGUGACCGGCCACAUUGGGACUGAGAUACGGCCCAGACUCCUACGGGAGGCAGCAGUGGGGAAUAGUGCACAAUGGGCGGAAGCCUGAUGCAGCAACGCCGCGUGCGGGAUGACGGCCUUCGGGUUGUAAACCGCUUUCGCCUGUGACGAAGCGUGAGUGACGGUAAUGGGUAAAGAAGCACCGGCUAACUACGUG
RNAcentral lists this ribosomal RNA (468 nucleotides) under uncultured bacterium. Its description in RNAcentral is "partial 16S ribosomal RNA". It matches the Rfam family "Bacterial small subunit ribosomal RNA", at positions 28 to 507 of the family's 1533-position model. The record is from RNAcentral.